UCGGGUCCACUGGUGGUGGGCUGCUGGUGGCCUACCAAAAAAAUGGGCUGCUGUUUUUAUAUUUUUUUCUUUAUUUUAUCUUUUUCUCUCUUUUUCCUUUCAUCUUUCUGUUUCUUCUCUUCUUUUUUCUUUUCAGUUACCUAUUUUACUUCUUUUGCUUGCUGUUUUUUCUGUCUUUGUCUGCUUAUUUGUGGAGGUGCGACGGUGGUGGGAAUGUAAGGGCGGGCCGGCGAGCACGGUGGCGGGGAAGGAGCGGCGAAUUUUUUGAAGUUAUUCUUUUGUUUUUUUUUUUUGCUACUCUUUUGUUUGCUUUGCUUUUCUAUUUGGUUGCUUGCGACUUUUCAGGUGGUGGGGGCAAGGGGACGACAACGGUGGCAGUGGUUAAACGACGGUGGUGAGGGCUUUUGCUUGCUGCUGCUUGAUUUUUUUCUCUCCUUUUUUUUUUUGCUUUUUGGUUGCCGAAAAUGAAAACCCCCCCAUUUCUCUUCAAUCCUUUCCUUUUAAAAGCUCCAAAUUUUGUCAUCUUUCUCAUUGUUUGCAGGUGGCAGAUGAGCCAUGAUGGCCUAGGGGGGGCUGCUGGAGUAGCUCGGCUGGGAGGGG
This 600-nucleotide long non-coding RNA is filed under the name Gossypium raimondii (Peruvian cotton). Its description in RNAcentral is "long non-coding RNA (GRAI_LNC004331)". The record is from RNAcentral. Lineage: Eukaryota; Viridiplantae; Streptophyta; Magnoliopsida; Malvales; Malvaceae.